This 380-nucleotide ribosomal RNA is filed under the name uncultured Bacteroidales bacterium. Its description in RNAcentral is "bacterial SSU rRNA". It matches the Rfam family "Bacterial small subunit ribosomal RNA", at positions 35 to 414 of the family's 1533-position model. The record is from RNAcentral. Lineage: Bacteria; Pseudomonadati; Bacteroidota; Bacteroidia; Bacteroidales.
GCUAGCUACAGGCUUAACACAUGCAAGUCGAGGGGUAGCAGGGUAGCAAUACCGCUGACGACCGGCGCACGGGUGAGUAACACGUAUCCAACCUUCCCAUAACUCGGGGAUAGCCUUUCGAAAGAAAGAUUAAUACCCGAUAGUACUUUAUUAAGGCAUCUUAAGAAAGUUAAAGAUUUAUUGGUCAUGGAUGGGGAUGCGUUCCAUUAGAUAGUUGGUGAGGUAACGGCUCACCAAGUCUUCGAUGGAUAGGGGUUCUGAGAGGAAGGUCCCCCACAUUGGUACUGAGACACGGACCAAACUCCUACGGGAGGCAGCAGUGAGGAAUAUUGGUCAAUGGGCGAGAGCCUGAACCAGCCAAGUAGCGUGAAGGAUGACGG